RNAcentral lists this ribosomal RNA (382 nucleotides) under uncultured eukaryote. Its description in RNAcentral is "partial 18S ribosomal RNA". It matches the Rfam family "Eukaryotic small subunit ribosomal RNA", at positions 592 to 976 of the family's 1831-position model. The record is from RNAcentral.
UGUAAGCGUAUACCAAAGUUGUUGCAGUUAAAACGCUCGUAGUCGGAAUUUGGCAGUUCCGGAUGUGUGCACGUCGUGUGCGCACUUCGCGGGGAUUGCUUUUGUGGUCUUGCGUAGGAUGAGGCACUUUUAUUAGUGAACGUUCUCACGCAACCACUUUUUACUGUGAGAAAAUCAGAGUGCUCAAAGCAGGCAUUUGCCGUGAAUGUAUUAGCAUGGAAUAAUAGAAUAGGACUUGGUUCUAUUUUGUUGGUUUGUUGGGACUGAGUAAUGAUUAAGAGGGACAGUUGGGGGCAUUUGUAUUUCGGUGCUAGAGGUGAAAUUCUUAGAUUACCGAAAGACAAACUGCUGCGAAAGCGUCUGCCAAGGAUGUUUUCAUUGA